Molecule: ribosomal RNA, 254 nt
Filed under: uncultured bacterium
Lineage: Bacteria
Description: partial 16S ribosomal RNA
Rfam family: Bacterial small subunit ribosomal RNA
Source: RNAcentral
GACGAACCGUGCGAACGUUGUUCGGAAUCACUGGGCUUAAAGGGCGCGUAGGCGGGCUGACAAGUCUGGGGUGAAAUGCCGCGGCUCAACCGUGGAACUGCCUCAGAUACUGUCGGCCUCGAGGGAGGUAGGGGCGUGCGGAACUGUAGGUGGAGCGGUGAAAUGCGUUGAUAUCUACAGGAACUCCGGUGGCGAAAGCGGCGCGCUGGACCUCUUCUGACGCUGGAGGCGCGAAAGCUAGGGGAGCAAACGGG